This 1848-nucleotide ribosomal RNA is filed under the name Triticum aestivum (bread wheat). Its description in RNAcentral is "partial small subunit ribosomal RNA". Lineage: Eukaryota; Viridiplantae; Streptophyta; Magnoliopsida; Poales; Poaceae. The record is from RNAcentral.
AUGUCCUGUUUCUUGUACUCAUCUUGCCUUCCUGUAGAAUUUGAUAGAAACAAGAAUUACUCAUGUGACAGCCCAGAAUCAUUUUCAGAUAGAGAGGGUGGCCAAGAUUUCAUUACUGUGGAGAACUGUGGCGAUGAUUUUAUUGCUGCAUUGGCUGAUGCAACACAACUUACUGAUGACUGGGAUGACCUGAAUGCAAUAGAGACUGAAGCUUGUGGCAAUUUGAAUGAAAUGAUGAGGAAGGGUGUAAAUGAUGAAAAAGGAGGAGUUGUUCUGGACACUCCUUUGUUCAAAAGGGCAGAUUCCUCCAGUCAACAUAAUCCGAAAGGUUUAAAAAUAUCGAGCUUUUCCUCUGAUGAUUCAGAUUUUGACAUAUUUGAUGAAACAAACACCCACCGUGAUAAUAACGUGGGUACCCAGAAGAAGCCACAAACAAGAAACUCUAAAGCUCAGACAAGAAGCUCAACAAAAUCUACUGUGACCAAAGGAACCAAGAGAUAUGAAUCAACAACUCCAGCUUCAAAUAGAGAGGGACAGCCAAAUGCAUGUCUUCGGAAGAGAGAAAUUUUGAGUUAUGAGCAGCUUUCUUCUCUAGAUGACAUCAAUUUGGCCAAUGCUGUCAUCUUUGGCAACAAAAGUUUUAGGCCCCUGCAGUAUGAAGCUUGUAGUGCUGCACUGGACAAUAAAGACUGUUUUAUACUUAUGCCAACAGGUGGUGGCAAAAGCUUGUGUUAUCAGCUCCCUGCAACAUUGCACCCAGGUGUUACCGUUGUUGUGUGUCCAUUGCUGUCACUUAUUCAGGAUCAGGUGGUUGCUUUAACCUUCAAGUUUGGGAUACAAGCAGCAUUCUUGAAUUCUCAGCAAACUUCAGCACAGGCAUCUGCAGUUAUCCAAGAGCUUAGAAAUGGCACACCUUCUUUCAAACUUCUGUAUGUCACACCUGAAAGAAUGGCUGGAAACUAUUCCUUCAUGGAGAUCCUCAAAGGCUUACACCAGAGGGGAUUGCUAGCAAGGUUUGUGAUUGAUGAAGCACACUGUGUAAGUCAAUGGGGACAUGACUUCCGUCCAGAUUACCGAGGCCUAGGAUGCCUCAAACAGCACUUCCCUAGAGUCCCAAUCAUGGCUCUAACUGCAACAGCAACUGAAGCUGUCCGUAAGGACGUCCUCAGUACCUUGAGGAUCCCAAACGCUUUGGUACUUAAGAGGAGCUUUGACAGACACAACCUCAAAUACAUGGUGAUUGGCAAGACGAGAACUCCCCAGAUGCAGCUGGGUGAGCUCCUGAAAGAGCGUUUCAUGAACAUGUCUGGCAUUGUGUAUUGCCUCUCGAAGAACGAAUGUGCAGACACUGCCAAGUUCUUGAGGGAGAAGUACAAGAUAAAAUGUGCGCAUUACCAUGCUGGCUUGGCGGCCCGUCAGCGAAGCAGCGUCCAAGAGAAGUGGCACAGAGGAGAGGUCAAAGUUAUUUGUGCUACAAUAGCCUUCGGCAUGGGGAUUGACAAGCCUGAUGUGAGCUUUGUUGUCCACAACACGCUGUCGAAAUCGAUAGAAAGCUACUAUCAGGAGUCUGGGCGGGCUGGAAGAGAUGGCCUUCCAGCGCAUUGUGUGGUGUUAUAUCAGAAGAAAGACUUCAGCCGCAUCGUGUGCAUGCUGAGGAGUGCUGAUAACUUCAAGAGUGAAACCUUCAAGGUUGCAAUGGACCAAGCAAAGAAAAUGCAGGCGUAUUGCGAGCUGAAGACUGAGUGUCGCAGGCAAACUCUUCUGGGUCACUUUGGCGAACAGUUCAACAGUCAAAGGUGUAAAGAUGGCCCUAGCCCCUGUGACAUCUGUCUGAAGGAAGCUUCAUGA